Molecule: long non-coding RNA, 2239 nt
Organism: Myotis davidii
Lineage: Eukaryota; Metazoa; Chordata; Mammalia; Chiroptera; Vespertilionidae
Exons: 2
Source: RefSeq, a predicted model, not a curated record
ACAAAGGAGAUAAUGUAAAUCAGUUGUCUACAUCUCAAGAAAUCAUGCUGUGGAUGUUCUUGUGGGUUUUUUGCUUUUGUUGCUGGCAAAAUGGAUAAUUAGCACAGUGUUAAAACAAAGAGGCCAUCAAGAGUGCUAAUGUUGCUAAAGGUGUGAAAAAAUGGUCACAGGCAAUUGAAGAGGUAGAAAGACUUGUUGAUUGGGAUAAACCAAAUGCAGUUGGCAGGCAGCAUUUCGGAGGCAACAAUAUGUGAACAAUUGAAGAUGCCAAAUACUGAAUUCCUGAAAAACAAACACCCCUGAGUGCUGAAAGUGAUUCAUUUAAGGAUAGUAGGGGGUGGUUCCAUAGAUUUAAGAAGUGUUUGUUUAUAGAAUAAACAAUACGGAAUCGUUGGGGGGGUAGGGGGUCUGGAAAGAAUUAAUUUACAUAAUUUAUAAGGGGGGGAUGAUUCAGUUUUUCAAACAAAUCACAUCUCAAACAGCCUUCCAGAACAAAUUAAGUUUGAGAACCAAAGUUGCACUGUAUUUUGUUUUUUAGAUUCCACAUCUAAGUGAAAUCAUAUGACAUUUGUCUUUCUCUGACUGGCUUAUUUCACUCAGCAAAAUAUCCUCUCCUUCCACGUUGCUGCAAAUUCAAGCCCUACCACUGCUGCUCAUGGGGCACCAGUAACUCACCUUAGCUGGUCUGUUACAGGAAUACAUUUAAUUUUGAGAGAGUCUUGAAGAUGUGAUUGAACUUUCCAGAGCCUUGUGACCCUCAGAUACCUGAUGCCCUGCAGGGCUGAAAGCUCAGACAGCAGCCAGUGACCCCAUCAAGGUUCAGGCAUAUGCUUUGUAAAGACCUGCAUUUCUUUUAUUUUUACAGUUUUGCCAAUUUUAUUAAACCAAUAAAAUUCCUACUAAUAACAAUGAAAUAAAUUUUUGCAAGUAAAAUGUUGAACAAAACCUAUUGUUCUGUACCUAUAAAUUUUCAAAAUGUCAUAAAAAGUGCAGCUAUGAAUUGUUAACAUGUACACACUUCCUUUAUUUCAAAUGUGUUUGUCUUGACCACUAACAGUUCCUUCUGCAUCUGUUCAAAUAACAUUACCCACUCCUCCAUAAAAAAAGGCAUUAAAGCACUAGAAUAUUACACAUACACUGACCCAGAGUUGUAAAAUCAGCAGCAUCAGAAAAAUAAAACCUAGUUAUACAUACAAAAAGCUUUCAUGGGUUCUAUAAUCUCCUUAACUACUGGCUCAUGUGGAGGCCAUAACAGUGGAGAAGGCUCAUAUAGGUAACUACCUCAGACUACAGCUACAGCAGGGUCUGGUUCGCCAGAACAAGUUUAAAGUGGCUGUUUAUCAAGUUUGCUAUUUUUGGAAUUGAAACUAUAAAUAUAAGUGUCAUUUGACAAUGCAAAUUGUGUAAAUCCUAAAUUUCAUCAAUGAUCUAUUUGAUAAAAGCUUAUUCUAAUGGAAAACCCUAUAUAGUAAGAGAGUGAUAUAUAUAUUUAUAGCAGUCUUAAGAUCAUCCGCCUCACAUUAGUGCAAAGUCACAUGCUUCGUAAAAAAACACACCACACAUUACAGUAACAAAGCAAAGGACUACAAAGGCAAAACAUCACAGCUUCUGAUUACAUUGAAUAAAAAGGACCAAGGAACACAAAAGAUAAUUCUGUAUUAAUACUGAUGAAUUAAAGAACUAUAAUAGACAUUUCACAGCAUGCUAUAUAUAUUGCUCAGCACUUAAGGAUAAAAUGAAGUCUAAAUUUGAAAGUCAAGAAGUUGGCAAUCUGAUCUCAUGUGCAAUCCAGCUACAAAGUCUUAAUAUAUACAUUCAUCAUCUAGCUACCCUGCAAAAUCAGGACUUAAAAAUUAAGAUUUCAAGUUCAAAUCCUAUUUCAUAAGCUAAAGGAUACAUCCAGUUCUUCCAUGACCAGAAAAGGUAUUUCCAGGUUGGAAGGAGCUAAUCCAAGUAGCAAGGCCAUGUUCCACGUUGACCUGACAGGGUCCUUUCUGACCUUGCUCAGACUGUGCCUGUGACGUCACUCUUCUAGUAGCACAAAGAUGCAACACUGGUUGUGGUUGCUUUUUCUGUCUGUCCUAUGUUAGGUUGGAAAGAGUAAAUGUGAAGGGAAAGGGGAAGGGAAAAAUUGUAUUUUCUUUCCAGGAAGAUAUGUGAAUGCAAAGGAAAUAUCUGCCUUAGAGUUCCAUAACUUUACUUGAAGCACAAGGGUACCAUUUACCUCUUACAUUUUAUU